RNAcentral lists this ribosomal RNA (381 nucleotides) under uncultured eukaryote. Its description in RNAcentral is "partial 18S ribosomal RNA". It matches the Rfam family "Eukaryotic small subunit ribosomal RNA", at positions 592 to 976 of the family's 1831-position model. The record is from RNAcentral.
CAAUAGCGUAUAUUAAAGUUGUUGCGGUAAAAAAGCUCGUAGUUGGAUUUCUACCGAAGAUAGCCGGUCGGGUCUUCGACCUUGUAUCUGGUUUUGUCUUUGGUAUCCUCAUAGGGAACGUUUCUGCGCUUUAUUGCGUGGUGCGGUAUCUAUGACUUUUACUUUGAGGAAAUUAGAGUGUUCACGGCAGGCAAACGCCUUGAAUAUAUUAGCAUGGAAUAAUAACAUAGGAUCUUCGUCCUAUUUUGUUGGUUUCUAGGGCUAAGAUAAUGAUUAAUAGGGAUAAUUGGGGGCAUCUGUAUCAACGCGUCAGAGGUGGAAUUCUUGGAUUGCGUUGCGACAAACUACUGCGAAAGCAUUUGCCGAGGAUGUUUUCAUUGA